GAGGGGGUGCAAACGUUAUUCGGAUUUAUUGGGUGUAAAGGGUGUGUAGACGGCCUAUUAAGUUUGUUGUUAAAUCUUCCGGGCCUAACCGGAAGCUCGCGAUGAAAACUGAUAGACUUGAGGAUGGAAGAGAGAAGUGGAAUUCUCGGAGUAGCGGUAAAAUGCGUAGAUCUCGAGAGGAACACCGAUGGCGAAGGCAGCUUCUUGGUCCAUUCCUGACGUUGAAACACGAAAGCGUGGGGAGCAAACAGGAUUAGAUACCCUGGUAGUCCACGCCGUAAACGAUGAUCACUAGAUGUUGGCCCUGUUUUGCAGGGUUAGUAUCGAAGCUAACGCGUUAAGUGAUCCACCUGGGAACUACGAUCGCAAAGAUUAA
This 376-nucleotide ribosomal RNA is filed under the name uncultured organism. RNAcentral's name for it is "partial 16S ribosomal RNA". It matches the Rfam family "Bacterial small subunit ribosomal RNA", at positions 526 to 897 of the family's 1533-position model. The record is from RNAcentral.